AGCCACCUUUUGAAACGCGUCAAAGCGUAACUUUAACACCCAAAAUACCAUUAAUUUUUAUGAACCCCUAAUUUAUAAUGAAUGACUCCAUAUUUAUAUGGAAGACACCAUGCUAGGAUUAGUAACAAGAAUUUAUAAUUCUCCAAAAUGCAAAUAUAAACCAACAUGGAUAGACCAUUGGUAGUUACCGAACCUAAAUUUAAUGCAAUAACAUCCACAAGAAAACUCUGCAGCACUCACUCGUUAACCUAACACCAGCGCAUUACAGGAAAGAUUCAAAAAAAGAGAAGGAAUUCGGCAAAUGACGGCCCCGCCUGUUUACCAAAAACAUCGCCUCUUGACUUAUAAUAAGAGGUCUAGCCUGCCCAGUGAAUUUUAAACGGCCGCGGUAUCCUAACCGCGCGAAGGUAGCAUAAUCACUUGUUCUUUAAAUGGGGACUCGUAUCAACGGCAUCACGAGGGUUUUACUGUCUCCUCUUUUUGAUCAGUGAAAUUGAUCUUCCCGUGAAGAAGCGGGAAUAUUUUUAUAAGACGAGAAGACCCCAUGGAGCUUUAAACCAAAUAACAACUUAACCACUUAUCCCAUAAUAAAUUUAACCCCUGUUAUAAGGUUUUUGGUUGGGGUGACCGCGGAGUAAAGCACAUCCUCCACGACGGAAAGAAUAAAAUCUUUAUUUAAGAACCACACUUCUAGAAAUUAGUAUACUAACGUUUACUGACCCGACAAUCGAUCAACGGACCAAGUUACCCUGGGGAUAACAGCGCAAUCUACUUCGAGAGCUCAUAUCGACAAGUAGGCUUACGACCUCGAUGUUGGAUCAGGGUAUCCCGGUGGUGCAGCCGCUACCGAAGGUUCGUUUGUC
RNAcentral lists this ribosomal RNA (863 nucleotides) under Polypedates leucomystax (Java whipping frog). RNAcentral describes it as "partial 16S ribosomal RNA". It matches the Rfam family "Bacterial large subunit ribosomal RNA", at positions 1114 to 2581 of the family's 2925-position model. Lineage: Eukaryota; Metazoa; Chordata; Amphibia; Anura; Rhacophoridae. The record is from RNAcentral.